Molecule: ribosomal RNA, 1343 nt
Filed under: uncultured bacterium
Lineage: Bacteria
Description: 16S ribosomal RNA
Rfam family: Bacterial small subunit ribosomal RNA
Source: RNAcentral
GACGAACGCUGGCGGCGUGCUUAACACAUGCAAGUCGAACGGAAAGGCCCUGCUUUUGUGGGGUGCUCGAGUGGCGAACGGGUGAGUAACACGUGAGUAACCUGCCCUUGACUUUGGGAUAACUUCAGGAAACUGGGGCUAAUACCGGAUAGGAGCUCCUGCUGCAUGGUGGGGGUUGGAAAGUUUCGGCGGUUGGGGAUGGACUCGCGGCUUAUCAGCUUGUUGGUGGGGUAGUGGCUUACCAAGGCUUUGACGGGUAGCCGGCCUGAGAGGGUGACCGGCCACAUUGGGACUGAGAUACGGCCCAGACUCCUACGGGAGGCAGCAGUGGGGAAUAUUGCACAAUGGGCGGAAGCCUGAUGCAGCAACGCCGCGUGCGGGAUGACGGCCUUCGGGUUGUAAACCGCUUUCGCCUGUGACGAAGCGUGAGUGACGGUAAUGGGUAAAGAAGCACCGGCUAACUACGUGCCAGCAGCCGCGGUGAUACGUAGGGUGCGAGCGUUGUCCGGAUUUAUUGGGCGUAAAGGGCUCGUAGGUGGUUGAUCGCGUCGGAAGUGUAAUCUUGGGGCUUAACCCUGAGCGUGCUUUCGAUACGGGUUGACUUGAGGAAGGUAGGGGAGAAUGGAAUUCCUGGUGGAGCGGUGGAAUGCGCAGAUAUCAGGAGGAACACCAGUGGCGAAGGCGGUUCUCUGGGCCUUUCCUGACGCUGAGGAGCGAAAGCGUGGGGAGCGAACAGGCUUAGAUACCCUGGUAGUCCACGCUGUAAACGGUGGGUACUAGGUGUGGGGUCCACUCCACGGGUUCCGUGCCGUAGCUAACGCUUUAAGUACCCCGCCUGGGGAGUACGGCCGCAAGGCUAAAACUCAAAGGAAUUGACGGGGCCCCGCACAAGCGGCGGAGCAUGCGGAUUAAUUCGAUGCAACGCGUAGAACCUUACCUGGGUUUGACAUGGAUCGGGAGUGCUCAGAGAUGGGUGUGCCUCUUUUGGGGUCGGUUCACAGGUGGUGCAUGACUGUCGUCAGCUCGUGUCGUGAGAUGUUGGGUUAAGUCCCGCAACGAGCGCAACCCUUGUUCACUGUUGCCAGCACGUUAUGGUGGGGACUCAGUGGAGACCGCCGGGGUCAACUCGGAGGAAGGUGGGGAUGACGUCAAGUCAUCAUGCCCCUUAUGUCCAGGGCUUCACGCAUGCUACAAUGGCUGGUACAGAGAGUGGCGAGCCUGUGAGGGUGAGCGAAUCUCGGAAAGCCGGUCUCAGUUCGGAUUGGGGUCUGCAACUCGACCUCAUGAAGUCGGAGUCGCUAGUAAUCGCAGAUCAGCAACGCUGCGGUGAAUACGUUCCCGGG